GGUGAACGCUGGCGGCGUGCCUAAUACAUGCAAGUCGAGCGAACAGAUGAGGAGCUUGCUCCUUUGACGUUAGCGGCGGACGGGUGAGUAACACGUAGGUAACCUACCUAUAAGACUGGGAUAACUUCGGGAAACCGGAGCUAAUACCGGAUAAUAUUUCGAACCGCAUGGUUCGAUAGUGAAAGAUGGCUUUGCUGUCACUUAUAGAUGGACCCGCGCCGCAUUAGCUAGUUGGUAAGGUAACGGCUUACCAAGGCAACGAUACGUAGCCGACCUGAGAGGGUGAUCGGCCACACUGGAACUGAGACACGGUCCAGACUCCUACGGGAGGCAGCAGUAGGGAAUCUUCCGCAAUGGGCGAAAGCCUGACGGAGCAACGCCGCGUGAGUGAUGAAGGUCUUCGGAUCGUAAAACUCUGUUAUUAGGGAAGAACAAACGUGUAAGUAACUAUGCACGUCUUGACGGUACCUAAUCAGAAAGCCACGGCUAACUACGUG
Molecule: ribosomal RNA, 497 nt
Filed under: uncultured bacterium
Lineage: Bacteria
Description: partial 16S ribosomal RNA
Rfam family: Bacterial small subunit ribosomal RNA
Source: RNAcentral